RNAcentral lists this ribosomal RNA (1465 nucleotides) under uncultured Bordetella sp. Its description in RNAcentral is "partial 16S-23S ribosomal RNA intergenic spacer". It matches the Rfam family "Bacterial small subunit ribosomal RNA". Lineage: Bacteria; Pseudomonadati; Pseudomonadota; Betaproteobacteria; Burkholderiales; Alcaligenaceae. The record is from RNAcentral.
UUUGAUCAUGGCCUGAUUGAAGCGCUGGCGGAUGCUUUGGCACAUGCAAGUCGAACGGCAGCACGGACUUCGGUCUGCGGCGAGGCGAACGGGUGAGUAAUGUAUCGGAACGUGCCUAGUAGCGGGGAUAAUCACGCGAAAGCGUAGCUAAUACCGCACAUACGCCCUUCGGGGAAAGCGGGGACCUUCGGGCCUCGCACUAUGAUGUGGCCGAUAUCGGAUUAGCCAGUUGGUGGGGUAACGGCUACCAAGGCGUGACGAUCCGUAGCUGGUUUGAGAGGACGACCAGCCACACUGGGACUGAGACACGGCCCAGACUCCUACGGGAGGCAGCAGUGGGGAAUUCUUGACAAUGGGGGAAACCUGAUCCAGCCACCGGCGUGCGAUGGCUACCUCGCUGUGUGCCACCCUUGGCAGGAAAAGAAACGGCACGGGAUAAUACCCGCAACUGACGGUACCUGCAGAAUAAGCACCGGCUAACCACGCCAGCAGCCGCGGUAAUACGUAGGGUGCAAGCGUUAAUCGGAAUUACUAUGCAACAGCGUGCGUGCAGGCGGUUCUGGAAAGAAAGAUGUGAAAUCCCAGAGUUUAACUUUGAACUGCAUUUUUAACUACCGAGCUAGAGUGUGUCAGAGGGAGGUGGAAUUCCGCGUGUAGCAGUGAAAUGCAGAUAUGCGGAGGAACACCGAUGGCGAAGGCAGCCUCCUGGGAUAACACUGACGUUUGCGCACGAAAGGGGGAGCAAACAGGAUUAGAUACCUCCUGGUAGUCCACGCCCUAAACGAUGUCAACUUAGCUUUCGUUGGGGCCUUCGGCCUUGGUAGCGCAGCUAACGCGGUGAAGUUGACCGCCCAGAUACGGUCGCAGAUUAAACUCAAAGGAAUUGACGGGGACCGCACAAGCGGUGGAUGAUGUGGAUUAAUUCGAUGCAACGCGAAAACCUUACCUACCCUUGACAUGUCUGGAAUCCCGAAGAGAUUUGGGAGUGUCGCAAGAGAACCGAACACAGGUGCUGCAUGGCUGUCGUCAGCUCGUGUCGUGAGAUGUUGGGUUAAGUCCCGCAACGAGCGUAAACCUUGUCAUUAGUUACAUGAAAGGGCACCUUAAUGAGACUGCCGGUGACAAACUGGAGGAAGGUGGGGAUGACGUCAAGUCCUCAUGGCCCUUAUGGGUAGGGCUUCACACGUCAUACAAUGGUCGGGAUAGAGGGUCGCCAACCCGCGAGGGGGAGCCAAUCCCAGAAACCCGAUCGUAGUCCGGAUCGCAGUCUGCAACUCGACUGCGUGAAGUCGGACCGCUAGUAAUCGCGGACCAGCAUGUCGCGGUGAAUAAUGUUCCCGGGUCUUGUACACACCGCCCGUCAUACACCAUGGGGAGUGGGUUUUACCAGAAGUAGUUACCUAACCGUAAGGAGGGCGAUUACCACGGUAGGAUUCAUGACUGGGGUGAAGUCGUAACAAGGUAA